RNAcentral lists this ribosomal RNA (492 nucleotides) under uncultured bacterium. RNAcentral's name for it is "partial 16S ribosomal RNA". It matches the Rfam family "Bacterial small subunit ribosomal RNA", at positions 29 to 507 of the family's 1533-position model. The record is from RNAcentral.
AGUGAACGCUGGCGGUAGGCCUAACACAUGCAAGUCGAACGGCAGCACAGUAAGAGCUUGCUCUUACGGGUGGCGAGUGGCGGACGGGUGAGGAAUACAUCGGAAUCUACUUUUUCGUGGGGGAUAACGUAGGGAAACUUACGCUAAUACCGCAUACGACCUACGGGUGAAAGCAGGGGAUCUUCUGACCUUGCGCGAUUGAAUGAGCCGAUGUGGGAUUAGCUAGUUGGCGGGGUAAAGGCCCAGCAAGGCGACGAUCCGUAGCUGGUCUGAGAGGAUGAUCAGCCACACUGGAAGUGAGACACGGUCCAGACUCCUAAGGGAGGCAGCAGUGGGGAAUAUUGGACAAUGGGCGCAAGCCUGAUCCAGCCAGACCGCGUGGGUGAAGAAGGCCUUCGGGUUGUAAAGCCCUUUUGUUGGGAAAGAAAAGCAGCAGGUUAAUACCCCGCUGUUCUGACGGUACCCAAAGAAUAAGCACCGGCUAACUUCGUG